Molecule: long non-coding RNA, 810 nt
Organism: Eriocheir sinensis (Chinese mitten crab)
Lineage: Eukaryota; Metazoa; Arthropoda; Malacostraca; Decapoda; Varunidae
Exons: 2
Source: RefSeq, a predicted model, not a curated record
UCCACCCGCCUCUCUCUCCUCCUCCACCUCCACAUAACUCUAUUAUCCACUUCUUCCUUCCUUUCUUUUCUCCACGUUUCCUCCACCUCUCCCUUCCUUUACUUCUCCAUUCCUCCACUUCCUUAUUCCCUCCACUUCUCUACCUUUUUAUCCUCUCCUCCUCCACAUCCUUAUUCUCUCCACCUAUUCGCUUCUCCAAUCCUCCACCGUGUCACUCUUUCUCUCUCCAUCUACUUCCACCUUCCUCCAUCCCAGCUUCCUCCUCUUCCACUUCCUCUCCACCGCUUCUCAAGACUUGCUAUCAUCCCUCCUCCUUCAGCUAUUAAGAAAGGAGGGAGGAAGAGAAAAUUGGAGAGGAUAAGAGAAAGGAAGGGAGGAAAAAGUAGGUUGGAAGAUGGAAUAGAAAGUGGGAGGGAAAGAAGAAAGGAAGGAAGGAAGGGAAGAAGGGAAAUAAAGAGAAGGGAAAGGAAAUGAAGGGAAGGAAGAAUUAGAUCGGAAAAUCGAAGAGGAAGUAGAAGGGAUAAAUGAAGAAAAAGGAAAGGAAAGGAGGGAAGGGAAAACAAAGAAAAGAAAGGAAGGGAAAUAAGAGAUAGGAAGGAACGAAGUAUUAGGUUGGAAAAUGGAAGGGAAAGAAUGAAGAAGAAAGGAAAGGAAAGUCGUGAAGAAAGAAGGAAGGAAAAACAAGGAAAAGAAAGGAAGGGAAAAUAAGAGAAAGAAAGGAACGAAGAAUUAGGUUGGAAAAUAGAAGGGAAAUUGGAAAGGAAAAAAGAAGAAAAAGGAAAGGAAACUCGGCAAAAAAAUGAGGGAGGG